This 253-nucleotide ribosomal RNA is filed under the name uncultured bacterium. Its description in RNAcentral is "partial 16S ribosomal RNA". It matches the Rfam family "Bacterial small subunit ribosomal RNA", at positions 524 to 776 of the family's 1533-position model. The record is from RNAcentral.
UACGUAGGGUGCAAGCGUUGUCCGGAAUUAUUGGGCGUAAAGAGCUCGUAGGCGGUCUGUCGCGUCGGAUGUGAAAAUCCAGGGCUCAACCCUGGACCUGCAUUCGAUACGGGCAGACUAGAGUUCGGUAGGGGAGACUGGAAUUCCUGGUGUAGCGGUGAAAUGCGCAGAUAUCGGGAGGAAUACCGGUGGCGAAGGCGGCGUUCUGGACUGCAACUGACACUGAGGAACGAAAGCCAGGGGAGCAAACGGG